ACACUGCUGAGGAGUCCCAUACUAGGACGAAACGGCCGUCCAG
Molecule: non-coding RNA, 43 nt
Filed under: Schistosoma mattheei
Lineage: Eukaryota; Metazoa; Platyhelminthes; Trematoda; Strigeidida; Schistosomatidae
Source: RNAcentral